CACAAAAAAAAGCAAAAUUUUCAAAUCCAAAAUUUUUGAUGUGUUCAUUUUACAUUUUUUAUUAAUUUAUUAUUAUAUUUUAAAACGUUUGCCAAACCGAAUUUUACAAUAAAAAUGGUAGCUUUUAAACGUCUUCCCGAUUUCGAUAAAUGUUGUUUCUGUUUAUCAUUAAGAGUAGGAUGUUUUAUAAUGGGAUUCUGUUUUUUGUUGGGCGGCACCGUAGGCACACAUUAUCCCAUACUGUUUGAGGGAGCGGCAGAUGAUAAGUACACAUGCUACGAAGGAUUUAAAAAUAAAAAAUGCAGUCAACACAGACUUUUGUCGACCGAAUUCCGCGUGCUAAUAGGGUGUCUCGAUAUUGUAUUGUUUGUUGCAACUGUCGUGUUUAUUGUGGGCCUUAUCAUUAAAAAUGCUUUGUGUAUUACAGUUUAUAUGUACAUGUUCGCUGUCACUAAGUCUGUGGAUAUUAUGAUUUACGCUUAUCUUUUUCUAUUGGGGUCGUUUGGUUCUUGCAAAUCAACGCAUUAUAGCUUAAUAAAUUGUUUUGUGUCAAUGUUAUUAACUACAAUGUUUUCAUUAUACAUGCUAAUAAUCAUGAAAAGCUAUAGGUCUACAAUCGAGUAAAUAAAUUGCAGCUCGAUGUCAGAAUAAAGUUUUAUAAGAAAAACAUUGCCUUAUUAUUAAAUUUUAUGUAGGGAUUAAUACUCCGUAGCUUCAAAUAUCGCGAGGGUUGCGAAGAAUUCAAAGCUGUAUCAUGUGUCCGGCCUCGGUGUCGACCAGUCGGUCUAUGAGGGGCAUCUGUCUGUAGUUUAUCUUUUAAAUAACUGCAUGGGUGGAAAUCUUACCAUAUGGAGUCGGCGCUGAAGGAAGUUGAGUACCUAUGCAAAAUGUGAGGACCGCAUACAGUAGAUGGUUUUUGAACUUAAAAAGCUUAGAGAAUAAAAAAACCAGAUGGUGUCGGGCUUUUAGUCCAUUUUUUUAUUUACCUUUGUAUUUUGUCAAGUGAAUAGAUU
This is a long non-coding RNA of Plodia interpunctella (Indianmeal moth), 1013 nucleotides long. RefSeq lists it as uncharacterized. The record is from RefSeq and is a predicted model, not a curated record. NCBI's taxonomy places the organism in Eukaryota, Metazoa, Arthropoda, Insecta, Lepidoptera, Pyralidae. The transcript has 4 exons.